Molecule: long non-coding RNA, 383 nt
Filed under: Setaria viridis
Lineage: Eukaryota; Viridiplantae; Streptophyta; Magnoliopsida; Poales; Poaceae
Description: long non-coding RNA (SVIR_LNC001984)
Source: RNAcentral
UGACGUGGCCAGCGCAUAACACACGACAACAAUACAUGUCUUAUUUGUGAGCCUCAUAAGCUACAGGUAACGUCUAGAGUAAAGGGCUUGUUAUGAAGCGUAGUUCUAUAUAUUAGAUAGGGCGUUUAUGCACUUAUAGAAAUGCAUUCUAACAUUAUCCAGAAAAAGAAAUGCAUUAUAAAGAAGGCAGUUUUUUUUGCAUAUAAUAAUUCUCUUAAGUUUCCGCCAUGUCGUCAGUGAAAAACAUGUAACUUGACUUCUUUGGCCAAGUCUCUGGUCUCCGGACAAACAUCCACAAAAGCCAGUUGGCGCCAAUCUACUGUACUGAUGAGCAGAUUUCCAGAAUCCGGGACAUUCUCCCUGCACAGAUUGCUACCUUCCCC